AUUAGUUGUGUAGGGGUAAAAUCCGUAGAGAUAACUAGGAAUACCAAAAGCGAAGGCGAUCUUCUGGAACAGUACUGACGCUGAGGCGCGAAAGCGUGGGGAGCAAACAGGAUUAGAUACCCUGGUAGUCCACGCCCUAAACGAUGAAUGUUAGUCGUCGGGAUGCAAGUCAUUUCGGUGAUGCAGUUAACACAUUAAACAUUCCGCCUGGGGAGUACGGUCGCAAGAUUAAAACUCAAAGGAAUAGACGGGGACCCGCACAAGUGGUGGAGCAUGUGGUUUAAUUCGAAGAUACGCGAAGAACCUUACCUGGCCUUGACAUUGAUAGAACCCAGUAGAGAUACAGGGGUGCCCUUCGGGGAGCUUGAAAACAGGUGCUGCACGGCUGUCGUCAGCUCGUGUCGUGAGAUGUUGGGUUAAGUCCCGCAACGAGCGCAACCCUCGUCACUAGUUACUAACGGUUCGGCCGAGGACUCUAGUGAGACUGCCUUCGUAAGGAGGAGGAAGGUGAGGACGACGUCAAGUCAUCAUGGCCCUUACGGCCAGGGCGACACACGUGCUACAAUGGGGAGGACAAUGAGACGCAAUACCGCGAGGUGGAGCAAAUCUAUAAACCUUCUCUCAGUUCGGAUAGAUCUCUGCAACUCGAGAUCUUGAAGCUGGAAUCACUAGUAAUCGUAGAUCAGCCAUGCUACGGUGAAUACGUUCCCGGGUCUUGUACUCACCGCCCGUCACACCAUGGGAGUUGAUUUCACCCGAAGCGGGGAAGCUAAACUGGCUACCCUCCACGGUGGAAUUAGCGACUGGGGUGAAGUCGUAACAAGGUA
RNAcentral lists this ribosomal RNA (827 nucleotides) under uncultured sediment bacterium. RNAcentral describes it as "bacterial SSU rRNA". It matches the Rfam family "Bacterial small subunit ribosomal RNA", at positions 666 to 1498 of the family's 1533-position model. The record is from RNAcentral.